This 4824-nucleotide long non-coding RNA is filed under the name Cucumis sativus (cucumber). RNAcentral's name for it is "long non-coding RNA (CSAT_LNC002661)". Lineage: Eukaryota; Viridiplantae; Streptophyta; Magnoliopsida; Cucurbitales; Cucurbitaceae. The record is from RNAcentral.
UGAAAAGAUAUUCAGACACAGUGGAAUCUUAUAUUAUAACAUUAUACAAACACACAAACGUUUUAAGUUCAAUACCAUACCAUAGGUCUAAAUUAGUACAUGACAGAGUUCAUUAUCGUUAUCUUAUUCAUAGACCCGUCAAUUGGAAUAUAAUAAUAUAAAGAUUUUACAUGGUGAUCUUCUUCUUACGAUCAUUAGCAAGUUGUUUGAGUGGUUCCAUUUGAAUGAUUGAGUUUGGUAAUUUUUGUGCGACCAUAAUAUGAAAGAGACCCAUAACUCCAAUGUGAGUUUGAGAAGGAUGAUAUUUGGAUAUCAGAGUUAACAUUUCUUUAUUGUUGAGUUUGACUGAGCCUGGCUUUGGAUAACAAGUUGACAUCCCAACCACAUAACCCUUCUCAUUCCCUAUUUCACUUCCAUUUCCAUAUAUGGGAGAUGAAGAACAUAACUCUCUUCCAUCCUAAUAAAUGCAUAAUGAUAGACAUAUUAUACACAUAUUUAAGAAAACUUCAAUUACAUAUAAUUCCGAUCAUACAUACAUAAGAAAGAUUUCAAUUUAGAUUGUUUUUACCUAUAAGUAGAGGCUUGAAAAAGUAUUUAUAAUUAAACAGAUUUUCAUGGCACAGUUUAGUAAACAUUUUGUUUCUGGUUUUUGAUUUUUGAAAAUUUAGCUUUAUUUUCUCUUAAUGCUCUUAGUAUCUUUCUUAAGUACAUAUUUAAAAGUUAUUUGACACGAAAUUGAAAGUUCAACUACAUUAAAGUUUCAAAAAAAUAUGUAAUUUAAUUUUAUAAGAAAUGAAGAGACCAAUUAUUAAGUGAAGAAAAAAAUACCUGUCCAUAAAGCACUGAACCAAGACCACCAACAUGGAGAUGAGCCAUUCCAUAUAUGAUAUAGCCACUACUUGGAGACAAUAGCCUCACCAUUUUUGUAGCAUUACAUUCAUCACCAACCUUGUUUGUGGAGCAAGUCCCUCUUACAUUAUACUCCACCUGUACACAAACCAUCAAAUGAUAUACAUGUAUAUAUAUAGCAAAUUAUGGAAGUAGUUUGACUUACAAGACAAUUAUGUUGUUGUGGAGCUCCUGUUGAGUCCAUCAAUGGCUUCCAAGUAUCUGUGAUAUCAAAAAUGUAAACCUUAAGAGGAAUAACAAGAUCAUCAUCCCAAUCCACCCACUUGACUGUAUAUCUAGCAUACAAGUUCCUUUGUUGAUCAUCUCCUAAUUCAUUAUCAUACCCUUUUUUCACUUUACAUUGGGUCUGAUCAUAACAACAUCUUAAACCUCCAAUAUAAUCAUCUUCCAAAGCCAUUCCCAACCCAUCUUUUGUAACAUUAUACAAAUGACGUUUGCAUUCAAUACAUCCAAUUCUAUCUUCAACACCUCUUGUAUCAAUGGCAUGAAUAUUAAGAACCCAUUUCUCUUCAUACCCUAAAGGGACUUCCUUUUCAUUACCAACUUCUAUUCCAUAUGGGUGUGGAAGAAAUGAGGAUGUUUUUCUUGAAUCUGCCCCUGUCCCAAAGAAUUGUGGAAGUGCAUGUUUUUGACAUACUCCACUGUUUCCUGCUAUUAUGAAAUUUGGUUCUUGGAGUUGAGUGAAGGAAGUGUUGAUGUGUGGAUCUUUUGUGUCUUUGCGUUGGUAAUACCUGUUGUUGUUGCACAAAAAUAUGUUAUUUUAGAUCGGUAAAAAUAUAAAUGUUUCUCAAAUAAUCAAUUAAACAUGUAUAUACUCACUACUAAUAUCACUGCUAAUACAGUCAAUCUAAACUCGUAUACUUCAUAACUAACUCCAUUUCAAACAAAUUAUUUAAUACUCCGCAUUGCAAGCAAACUUCCUGAAUUAGUGAGGUAAAAUACUCUUAAUUAGACACCAAAAACGUAUAGAUCAUUUGACUUGACUCAGAUUAUAAUAACAACAAAAACUAUUACGACUAACUUAUUCUCUGGAAAAUCUUAUUACAAUAAUGUUAUUCAUAAAAGAGAUGUGCCUGAUCAACAGUAAUGAGUUAUGUUAAGAAAUAUUCGAUUGCCUAGAAAAGAGAGAGAGAAAUGGUAUAGACAGUAAAUAAAACAAUAAGAGUAAUAAUAGUACCUUAGAAUUCCCCAAUGGUGAAGAUAAGUUUCAAAGAGAGGGAUGGGAUUGUCUUCUUCAUCUACGACUUCAACAUCAAAACUUUUGAUAGCAAUAUGGCCUUCGGGAAAGUUGGUAUUAUAGAAGAAUCUCUCCACUACAUGGCCAGGUUUUAAAGUGAAGAAUGGAGUCAUAUAAGUCUUUGUUUUUAUGACUUGAUGAUCGUUCUUGUUGUUUAUUACAACCCCUUCCAAAUAUGGUAUCAUAAUUCCUAUGGAAGAGAGCAGUAGCAACCACCGAAAACAUUGGUGAUGCUUCAACAUUUUUCUUUGUUUGAUUCUGCAAAAAAAAUAUGAACCGUAAUACGGUUUAAAUAAUCGAAAAAAAGAUGAACAAAUAUUCAGUGACGUGACAGAUUUUGAGUGAGAGUAUAGUUGGUAUUACUGUAUAAUAUAAAUGGAAUGAUGAUAUAAUGAUAAUAUUGGGAGUAGGGAAUAAAGGAAGUGGGUGGAAAAGAGAGAUUUUCUUAACAUAAGAAUAUGGUUAUAAUUUCUCUGCCUAUUUUUAUAAUCUAAAUUGUCACCUAAUUCUUUUUAAAUUAAUUAAGGGACAAAACUCACCUAAUUUAAUUUAAAGUACUAAAUUAAAAUAUUUUCUAGAUUUGGAUGCUAGCUUUUGAAAUAUAAGAGAUUUUUAGCAUCUCAUCAAAAUCACUAAUUACACACUUUUAAUGACUAACAAAAAAAGCGCGUAAAGUUUUGACUUCUAGGGUACGAUCUUGAAAAUUUUGAAAGUAAAAAAACCAUGAUCUUAUUUUGUUGAGGCAAGAUUUACAACACCCAAAAAUCCUUUUCAUGUAAUUAGAUCAAAGCAUACCGAAUCACAACAUUAUUAUACUAAUAUACUUUGAAUUAGGUAAAAACGAAUUAGGUAAAAAGGUCUAAUUCUUAAGACACCAUUAAAAAGUGAAUUUUGAAUGAGUUGAUGCUCCAAAUCACUCACUCUCAAACUUUCUUCGAUCAUCUCAUGCUCACACUCUAAAAACCAAAUGAUCGAAACAAUAUAUAUAGUUUUCAAACUUUUUAAAACAACAAUUUAACUAAUUCUUAAAACAACAGUGAAUUGUGAAUAGUAAGCUCUACGGUCGACUAAAUGUGAACGUUAAUAAAAAGAGUAUUCUCAACAGUGAAAAAAAAGACUUCUUAGUAUCAACAAAUGGUAUAUAUGUAUAUGCUUCAUUAAUAUUGGAUAAUCAUGCCUCUAACCUAUAACACAUAUGUAACUCAAAAUCAUGUCUACAUCAAUAUUAACAUAUUGAUGGAUAGAAGAUGAAUUAAGAAAUUACUAACCGUAGAGAUUCUUGAAGAAGAGAGGAAGAAGAAGAAGAAGAACAAGACGGAUGCAAAUAAUAGAAAGAGCUUUUGAUUUGAUUGGCAAUGGCGGAUUUGAUUAUUUCUCAAUCUAUAUUUUAUCGAUGGCUUAGCUGGAAGACCAUUUAACAUAAACUUAGCUUUUUUAAAAGAUCCAAAAUAUAAUUAUUAUUAAUGCUAAAAAUAAUGUCAUAAUAAAGACAUUAAACAACAAGAUUAUAUUAUUCUAAUAAUUAAUUAUAUGUUAAAAAAGUUCUCAAACAUUUUGGUGUUCACUUUGUUGUUUGGUUCUUAUCAUGACUUCUUCUCUUUUUUUUUCUUCUUUUUGGUAUUAUCUAAAAAUAGUUCUAAAAUAAAUAGAAAAAUUUCCAACUUAAUAAUAAAUUAAAAUUAUAAAGUUUGUAGGGAAGACAAAAAAACAAAAACAGCUCAAAACACCAUUUUUUUUAAAUAAAGAAUGCAAUUAAUUAAAAAAAAUCAAAACAAAGAAACAAAAAUGCAGAAAUAUAUAUAAAAUUGAAAAAAAGUAAAACAUAAAUAAUUAAAUUGUUAACUUUUAGUGUAAAAAGUUAAGGAGAAGAUAUAUAUUUCUUUUGGUAAAGGAUCCAGAAAGAUUCACCUAAUUCAUAUACUAAAAGGAUUCAUUAUUUUUAAUAGAUGAUAUAUAUAUAUAUAUUGCACAAGUUGCAUUGCAUUUUUGUAUAUAUAAAUAUUGGUGGACCAAAUCAAAUAGAUUCAAUUAAUUCGGUUCGAUAUUUGAAUAAGUUUUAUCAUAAAAUGAAACUAUCUUCAGCUUAGUUCUACUUUUUAUUUAUACAAAUUAAAUUUUUAAGAAACAAAACUAGAGAACGUGAGUAUGUCUAUUGCUUAUACCUCAUCUGAUCCAUUCACCCUGUAGUUAAUAUCUACAAGUUUUGGUUGUCUUUUGGGAUCAACGCCCUUUUGUAGCCAAAGUGUAAAAAAAUAUAUAUCGAAUGAGUAUAGAGAAGUCGAGUAUGGUAGGAACUACUGAUAUUCAAAGUUUCUCUACAAAAAUUUAUUUUAUUAUUUCUUUUUAGGUUAUUUGUUAAAUUGUUUUCUUUUUUAAAGUUUGGUUGUUUUAGUACAACUCUCUUUUCUAUGUAUCUUAACUUAAUGCAACUGACAUACAUUUUUACUAUGAGAAGAUAUUCAAACACACUGUACAAUCUUAUAUUAUAAUUACAUUAUACAAACACACAAACUUUUAUACCAUAGUGUCAAACUAUAGGUAUAAAUUAGUAGAUGACAGAGUUCAUUAUCGUCAUCUUCUUCAUAGACCCACCAAUUGUAAUAUAAUAAUGUAAAGAUUUUACAUGGUGAUCUUCUUUUUACGAUCAUCAGCAAGUUGUUUGAGUGGUUCCAUUUGAA